RNAcentral lists this ribosomal RNA (253 nucleotides) under uncultured bacterium. RNAcentral describes it as "partial 16S ribosomal RNA". It matches the Rfam family "Bacterial small subunit ribosomal RNA", at positions 524 to 776 of the family's 1533-position model. The record is from RNAcentral.
UACAGAGGGUGCGAGCGUUAAUCGGAAUUACUGGGCGUAAAGCGUGCGUAGACGGCUAUCUAAGUCGGGUGUGAAAGCCCCGGGCUCAACCUGGGAAUUGCAUUCGAGACUGAAUAGCUAGGGUGCGGUAGAGGGAAGCGGAAUUUCCGGUGUAGCGGUGAAAUGCGUAGAUAUCAAGAGGAACACCUGAGGUGAAGACGGGUUGCUGGGCCAACACUGACGCUGAUGCGCGAAAGCCAGGGGAGCAAACGGG